Molecule: unclassified non-coding RNA, 250 nt
Filed under: uncultured fungus
Lineage: Eukaryota; Fungi
Description: partial contains 5.8S ribosomal RNA, internal transcribed spacer 2, and large subunit ribosomal RNA
Source: RNAcentral
AACGCACAUUGCGCCCGCCAGCACUCUGGCGGGCAUGCCUGUUCGAGCGUCAUUUCAACCCUCGAGCCCCCCCGGGGGCGCGGUGUUGGGGGCCGGCCCUGGCCGCCCCCGAAAUGCAGUGGCGACCUCGCCGCAGCCUCCCCUGCGUAGUAGCACACACCUCGCACCGGAGCGCGGAGACGGUCACGCCGUAAAACGCCCAGCUUACAGAGUUGACCUCGGAUCAGGUAGGAAUACCCGCUGAACUUAA